GAAAUGUAGUGUGCAAGAUGCAUAUUGGAAUAAUAAGUAUGUAAUGUGUAGAGAAGUGGGUGAGUGGCCAAAGUGGGGAUGACCCC
Molecule: long non-coding RNA, 86 nt
Organism: Etheostoma spectabile (orangethroat darter)
Lineage: Eukaryota; Metazoa; Chordata; Actinopteri; Perciformes; Percidae
Exons: 3
Source: RefSeq, a predicted model, not a curated record